RNAcentral lists this ribosomal RNA (445 nucleotides) under uncultured bacterium. RNAcentral's name for it is "partial 16S ribosomal RNA". It matches the Rfam family "Bacterial small subunit ribosomal RNA", at positions 354 to 796 of the family's 1533-position model. The record is from RNAcentral.
GUGAGGAAUAUUGGACAAUGGGCGCAAGCCUGAUCCAGCCAUGCCGCGUGCAGGAAGACGCAUCUAUGGUGUGUAAACUGCUUUUGUACGGGAAGAAACACUCCCUCGUGAGGGAGCUUGACGGUACCGUAAGAAUAAGGAUCGGCUAACUCCGUGCCAGCAGCCGCGGUAAUACGGAGGAUCCAAGCGUUAUCCGGAAUCAUUGGGUUUAAAGGGUCCGUAGGCGGUUUAAUAAGUCAGUGGUUAAAGCCCAUCGCUCAACGAUGGAACGGCCAUUGAUACUGUUAGACUUGAAUUACAAGGAAGUAACUAGAAUAUGUAGUGUAGCGGUGAAAUGCUUAGAUAUUACAUGGAAUACCAAUUGCGAAGGCAGGUUACUACUUGUGGAUUGACGCUGAUGGACGAAAGCGUGGGGAGCGAACAGGAUUAGAAACCCUUGUAGUCC